UACGUAGGGGGCUAGCGUUGUCCGGAAUCAUUGGGCGUAAAGCGCGCGUAGGCGGCCCGGUAAGUCCGCUGUGAAAGUCAAAGGCUCAACCUUUGAAUGUCAGCCGAUACUGCGGGGCUAGAGUGCAGAAGGGGCAACUGGGAAUUCUCGGUGUAGCGGUGAAAUGCGUAGAUAUCGAGAGGAACACCUGCGGCGAAGGCGGGUUGCUGGGCUGACACUGACGCUGAUGCGCGAAAGCUAGGGGAGCGAACGGG
RNAcentral lists this ribosomal RNA (254 nucleotides) under uncultured bacterium. RNAcentral's name for it is "partial 16S ribosomal RNA". It matches the Rfam family "Bacterial small subunit ribosomal RNA", at positions 524 to 776 of the family's 1533-position model. The record is from RNAcentral.